GGUUACCGUGGACACGUUCUACGAGAGUACGUUUGACUCCGUGGCACGAGGACGACGCUGGCGGCGUGCUUAACACAUGCAAGUCGAACGGAAGGCCUAGCUUGCUGGGUACUCGAGUGGCGAACGGGUGAGUAACACGUGGGUGAUCUGCCCUGAACUCUGGGAUAAGCCUGGGAAACUGGGUCUAAUACCGGAUAUGACCUUACAUCGCAUGGUGUUUGGUGGAAAGCUUUUGCGGUUCAGGAUGGGCCCGCGGCCUAUCAGCUUGUUGGUCGGGGUAAUGGCCUACCAAGGCGACGACGGGUAGCCGACCUGAGAGGGUGAUCGGCCACACUGGGACUGAGACACGGCCCAGACUCCUACGGGAGGCAGCAGUGGGGAAUAUUGCACAAUCGGGCGCAAGCCUGAUGCAGCGACGCCGCGUGAGGGAUGACGGCCUUCGGGUUGUAAACCUCUUUCACCAGGGACGAAGCGUGAGUGACGGUACCUGGAGAAGAAGCACCGGCCAACUACGUG
RNAcentral lists this ribosomal RNA (516 nucleotides) under uncultured Gordonia sp. Its description in RNAcentral is "bacterial SSU rRNA". It matches the Rfam family "Bacterial small subunit ribosomal RNA", at positions 1 to 507 of the family's 1533-position model. Lineage: Bacteria; Bacillati; Actinomycetota; Actinomycetes; Mycobacteriales; Gordoniaceae. The record is from RNAcentral.